RNAcentral lists this unclassified non-coding RNA (319 nucleotides) under Coemansia brasiliensis. Its description in RNAcentral is "partial internal transcribed spacer region". The stretch from base 1 to 45 matches the Rfam family "Eukaryotic small subunit ribosomal RNA", at positions 1787 to 1831 of the family's 1831-position model. The record is from RNAcentral. Lineage: Eukaryota; Fungi; Kickxellomycota; Kickxellomycetes; Kickxellales; Kickxellaceae.
AGUCGUAACAAGGUCAUCGUAGGUGAACCUGCGGUGGGAUCAUUAUUGAUUUUCUUAGUAGUUCUUCUUAGGAAGGGUACUAUACUUGUGUGGGAAGAGUUUUUUUUUAGUAGGAGAAGGGCAGUACGUAUUACGUGCUAUCUUUUUUCCUACGAAGAGGUGUUUUUUUGUGUUUAUGGACGUUCUUAGGAAGGUUCAUAACACAAAAAUUCAUUUUCUUACUAUAAAACCUUAUGAACCUAACUUGUUGUUGUUAUGAAAAAUAAUUAUGAAAAAUAAUAAACUCAUACAACUAUCAAUGGCGGAUCACUUGGCUCUU